UGGGGAAUAUUGCACAAUGGGCGCAAGCCUGAUGCAGCCAUGCCGCGUGUAUGAAGAAGGCCUUCGGGUUGUAAAGUACUUUCAGCGAGGAGGAAGGUGUUGUGGUUAAUAACCACAGCAAUUGACGUUACUCGCAGAAGAAGCACCGGCUAACUCCGUGCCAGCAGCCGCGGUAAUACGGAGGGUGCAAGCGUUAAUCGGAAUUACUGGGCGUAAAGCGCACGCAGGCGGUUGAUUAAGUCAGAUGUGAAAUCCCCGAGCUUAACUUGGGAACUGCAUUUGAAACUGGUCAGCUAGAGUCUUGUAGAGGGGGGUAGAAUUCCAGGUGUAGCGGUGAAAUUGCGUAGAGAUCUGGAGGAAUACCGGUGGCGAAGGCGGCCCCCUGGACAAAGACUGACGCUCAGGUGCGAAAAGCGUGGGAGCAAAACA
RNAcentral lists this ribosomal RNA (429 nucleotides) under uncultured Enterobacteriaceae bacterium. RNAcentral describes it as "bacterial SSU rRNA". It matches the Rfam family "Bacterial small subunit ribosomal RNA", at positions 355 to 775 of the family's 1533-position model. Lineage: Bacteria; Pseudomonadati; Pseudomonadota; Gammaproteobacteria; Enterobacterales; Enterobacteriaceae. The record is from RNAcentral.